Molecule: ribosomal RNA, 773 nt
Filed under: uncultured bacterium
Lineage: Bacteria
Description: bacterial SSU rRNA
Rfam family: Bacterial small subunit ribosomal RNA
Source: RNAcentral
GCAAGUCGAGCGGAACGAUGCCUAGCUUGCUAGGAGGCGUCGAGCGGCGGACGGGUGAGUAAUGCAUAGGAAUCUGCCCGGUAGUGGGGGAUAACCUGGGGAAACCCAGGCUAAUACCGCAUACGCCCUACGGGGGAAAGCAGGGGAUCUUCGGACCUUGCGCUAUCGGAUGAGCCUAUGUCGGAUUAGCUAGUUGGUGAGGUAACGGCUCACCAAGGCUGCGAUCCGUAGCUGGUCUGAGAGGAUGAUCAGCCACAUCGGGACUGAGACACGGCCCGAACUCCUACGGGAGGCAGCAGUGGGGAAUAUUGGACAAUGGGCGAAAGCCUGAUCCAGCCAUGCCGCGUGUGUGAAGAAGGCCUUCGGGUUGUAAAGCACUUUCAGUGAGGAAGAAAGCCUUGAGGUUAAUACCCUCGAGGGAGGACAUCACUCACAGAAGAAGCACCGGCUAACUCCGUGCCAGCAGCCGCGGUAAUACGGAGGGUGCGAGCGUUAAUCGGAAUUACUGGGCGUAAAGCGCGCGUAGGCGGCUUGAUAAGCCGGUUGUGAAAGCCCCGGGCUCAACCUGGGAACGGCAUCCGGAACUGUCAGGCUAGAGUGCAGGAGAGGAAGGUAGAAUUCCCGGUGUAGCGGUGAAAUGCGUACAGAUCGGGAGGAAUACCAGUGGCGAAGGCGGCCUUCUGGACUGACACUGACGCUGAGGUGCGAAAGCGUGGGUAGCAAACAGGAUUACAUACCCUGGUAGUCCACGCCGUAUACGAUGUCGACUAGCC